Molecule: unclassified non-coding RNA, 472 nt
Filed under: Actinomadura atramentaria
Lineage: Bacteria; Bacillati; Actinomycetota; Actinomycetes; Streptosporangiales; Thermomonosporaceae
Description: partial 16S-23S ribosomal RNA intergenic spacer region
Source: RNAcentral
AAGGAGCACAAUCGGCUACGCCGUCCCCUCCUGGGGAGACAUGGUCGGUGGCCGUCAUCGACGACGAGCGCUCGUCGGACGGCUGCUCAUAGAUGUGGAGCACUGGCUACUCACUUCGGCGAUGGACCGAAGUCCGCGAGUACUGCCCCCGGCCCUUGGUCGGCGGCGUGGAAACCCGGACCCACGACAUCACCGCAGUGAACACGCUGUUGGGUCCUGAGGAAACGGACCCUCAGCCCGGCCCCCCACUCAAUGGGGUGCUGGGCGAGGUCGUUUCUUCAAGACCGCGGGACCAGUCUUCAUCACUGCGCGAUCGGUGGUGGGCUGGUGGGCCUGCUUGUUGUUUGAGAACUGCACAGUGGACGCGAGCAUCUCUGAACGAGAGACCGCUGAGAAGCCUGGGGACCGGUCUUUUGGUUCCGUGGGUUUUCUGGUUUCUUGUUCUCUGUUGCGAUUUGUUUGAUCGUUUUGU